UAUAGCUCAGCGGUAGAGCACUUUCCUAGCAUGCAUGAGGCUCUGGGUUCAAUCCCCAGUA
Molecule: transfer RNA, 61 nt
Filed under: Fukomys damarensis (Damara mole-rat)
Lineage: Eukaryota; Metazoa; Chordata; Mammalia; Rodentia; Bathyergidae
Rfam family: tRNA
About the family: Transfer RNA (tRNA) molecules are approximately 80 nucleotides in length.
Source: Rfam by way of RNAcentral